CAGCCGCCACGGUAAUACAGAGGUCCCGAGCGUUGUUCGGAUUCACUGGGCGUAAAGGGUGUGUAGGAGGUUUGGUAAGUCAGGUGUGAAAUCCCGCAGCUUAACUGCGGAACUGCAUUCGAUACUGCCGAACUAGAGGAUCGGAGGGGGAAGCGGAAUUCUUGGUGUAGCGGUGAAAUGCGUAGAUAUCAAGAGGAACACCGGUGGCGAAGGCGGCUUCCUGGAAGAUACCUGACUCUGAAACACGAAAGCUAGGGGAGCGAAUGGGAUUAGAUACCCCAGUAGUCCCUGUCUCUUAUAC
Molecule: ribosomal RNA, 301 nt
Filed under: uncultured bacterium
Lineage: Bacteria
Description: partial 16S ribosomal RNA
Rfam family: Bacterial small subunit ribosomal RNA
Source: RNAcentral